This 988-nucleotide long non-coding RNA is filed under the name Daphnia pulex (common water flea). Its description in RNAcentral is "uncharacterized LOC124202475". Lineage: Eukaryota; Metazoa; Arthropoda; Branchiopoda; Diplostraca; Daphniidae. The record is from RNAcentral.
CUCGCAACACAGUCUUCACCAGUGAACUGAUACUGAUCCGAUUCCGUGUCGUUAAAAAACGGAUUUUUUGAGGGCCGUAGAACGGAUUGGUUUCCGUUCUCUUACGCUAGAGUCGCAUGAAGGCAAUAACGUUAUGCCUACCCUCUAGCGCCUCUAGCUGAUUCAUAAUCGGAUUCGUUUCAGUUAACCGAUUUUGACUGUGUUGUCUCUUCAUUGACAGUUGGUGUUUACAAACCCAGAAUGAAUGACAACAAUCUUUUUAAAUUGCUAGCUACUGAACGAGUAGAAGUGAAUAAAAGUGCUAGUGAAAAGGACAAUUGUAAAGAAUAAAAGCCAUUUAUAAGUUAUAACUCCUGUUUUCUCGACUAGUGUGUGGUUUAAGAGUAGCUGUCACCAAUAAUUAGUCAAAGGAAACAGUAUAUGAUGUGCAUUAGUAGCCUAUGAUGUGAAACAGACAGUUUGCAGGACAAAAUUGGAGAGCUGGAGCAACAAGAAGUAAAUCAAAACAGCACAAAAAAGCAGUCUAAGAAAAAAGACGCAGUAGGAGGCUAUAAGCUCUCACCGGUUAAGCUCUCCUAUAGAACAUGAUUGGAUUGAUUGGCCAUUUAAAUGCUGUUUAAAAUCAAUCACUCUUUAUCAAUGAGAAUGGAUAUUCUACUACGGAUACAUGGUUGCUGGUUUAUAUGUGUGGAUUGAUUUAACACCAAUAUUGAGCUAGUUACGUGACGCUGACGGCAAAGUCUUCGUUUUCAUUACAACACUACAUGAUUGCUGGGCAGGUGAAGGCUUACCAAGCUGUUUUUAGUUCCGUCUUAUGGAAUCCUGAAGAAACUUCGAAAGUUGCGUCUACUAGAUGGGAUUGAUUAAUUAAUUUCUUAGACUAGAAGUACGUGUCAUAACUGUCAUUCUGUGUUGUUCAGUUAACAAGGCUUGUCGCUCGAUUUCACGCGAAUAAUUCAUGAGAAAUACAAAUUUCGUAACACACAAA